AGGCGCAGAGUCGGCAGCGACUGGAAAAGGCGCGGAGACGGCGAAGGCGAUGAGCUCCGAGAAUAUCGGUGCUGAUGCAGGAAGGAGGAGCCGGCCGAUCGCGCUAAUACGCUGAGAGAUUUCGUGAAGGUCUCGUGAUAUUUGAAGAACAUUCAUGUCUUCUAUUGGAUGUGAAGAUCCGAUCAUCAGAAUCUUGAUAUUAUUUACCUUUGAUUCGCUCACCUUGUCCAUGAGAUCCACCUCCUCUGUCUUGUUCUGAACAAGGAGAAAGUGAGGACUGCAGAUGCUGGAGAUCAGAGUCGAGAGUGUGGUGCUGGAAAAGCACAGCAGGUCAGGCAGCUUCCGAGGUGCCGGAGAAUCGACGUUACGGGCAUAAGUCCUGCAUCAGGAAUGGCGGCAGUGAGACAUGAAGAGAUUGAGGGCGGAUAACAGGCCAGUAGGGGGUGUCCAGGUGGAUGGGGUGUAUUAGAGAUGAGAGAAGGGGUCCUCGAUGGGUGGGCGGAAGUCUUGAUUGAAAAAAAAAAGGUGAGGCCUUUGCUGAGGACUAAACGUUCAUCUUCAGUGAGGGGGAGCCAUGGGGUAAUGGUAAAGAAAUGGCGGACUGGGAGCUAGGACCUGGUGAAGGGCUGGAGCUGGGUGUGGGGGCAGAGAGAGGGCGGAUGAAGAGUUUAUGUCUGGAAUGUUGAUGCUCCUGCUCCUCAUGCUGCCUGACUUGCUGUGCUUUUCCAGCGUUACACUCGACUUGGUUCUGACCAAUGCUGAACUAGUGACAGCAUUUACCAAACCGUCCUUGCUCACUAAUAUUGUUCAUGGUUCUCUCUCUUCAAAGACUAUCCCACUUCCCUUUCCCUCUGCCGCCAUUUACUCAUCCUCAAAAAACAACACUUGGCUCAGCCGUCAUUGUAUCCCAUCCCGAAUCUCUUCCUGUGAACACUUUGCCUCCUUCUAAAUCUGUGUCUAUUGUUCCCAGAACUCCAUCUUUCAAUUCCUCCAGUCAGAUUUCAUCCCCGUCACCAGAAUCAAAUUCUUGUCCAAAUCACCGAUUUUGAAAGUAAGCAAUUACUCCUUGACCUUCUUGCCCCGUUCUGAAGCCUUCUACCACACCAUCCUCCUGCAGCCCCUCGUCACUGUUCUCCUGCUGAAUGGACCUACGCUUUUCUGACUCAUUGCUGACCUGUCACGUCACGGUCAGAGCAUCAGUGCAACGCCUUCCCUUCCUGCUUCCAUGGCCUUACCUCUGGUGUCCCAGAGGAUCAGUCCUCUGCCUCUUCCUAUUCCUAAUCCACAGUCUGCUGCUCAGGGACAUCAUCUGAAAAACUCAGUGUCAGAUUUCACAUGUGGCUGAUGACACCAGCAGCCAUUGCAACUCUUCCACUGUUACUCAAUUCUCAGAGAGUCUUUGUCCCACAUCCAGGAGUACACUUGUGGACUUUCCUCCAGCCUAACCUUGUGGAGGCUGAAGCCACUCUUUCAACUUCUGCUCCUCAGCUUCUUAUCCUUCUCAUGGGCAGGUCAUUGAGAUGUCCAGCAUGGAAACAGACCCUUCAGUCCAACCCGUCCAUGCUGACCAGAUAUCCCAACACAAUCUAGUCCCACCUGCCAGCACCCGGCCCAUAUCCCUCCAAGCCCUUCCUAGUCAUAUACCCAUCCAAAUGCCUCUUAAAUGUUGCAAUUGUACCAGCCUCCACCACAUCCUCUGGCAGCUCAUUCCAUACACGUACCACCCUCUGUGUGAAAACGUUGCCACUUAGGUCUCUUUUAUAUCUUUCCCCUGUCACCCUAAACCUAUGCCCUCUAGUUCUGGACUCCCUGACCCCAGUGGAAAGACUUUGUCUAUUUAUCCUAUACAUGCCCCUCAUAAUUUUGUAAACCUCUGUAAGGUCACCCCUUCGCCUCCAACACUCCAGGGAAAACAGCCCCUGCCUGUUCAGCCUUUCCCUAUCGCUCAAACCCUCCAACCCUGUUUUACAUCUGUUGUCAUUACUAAUAUGUUCUUCUUCCUUCCUUCCUUGUCUGUUUCCCUCCUCUUGAUUGCUCUCGGCAAUACAGAUUCUUCCAUUGCUACUGGUUAAUUGCCCCAUUCUUUAUUUCCAGUUAUAUUAAUGAACUUGACCUUCAAUAAGAAAACAAAGUUUUGCCAUGAAUUAGCUUAAAUUUCAGUGAUUUAAUGAUUGAACACCUAUCUAGGAUCAGGUGUGCUUUUGUUGGGCAAGAAUAUUUAAACUUACAUUUUGACAUAAGCUUAAUUAAUUGUAUAUUGUGCAUUUGACAUUAAAGUCCAUAAAUUGAGUUAUGCAGUUGUCAGACUAAAUGAGGUACUUAACAAGGCUUCUCAUUAAAGGAGGACUCAAUUACACCCGUAACAGAAAGGAGAAGAAAGAAAACAUUAUACAAGGACAAGUUUAGGCAGAAUGAAAAUAUGUCUUCAAGUGGUGAGAGUGCAGUUUUGUUUUGGUGAUGUGUGCUUGCUGCCUGAACUGUGAUUUCAGCUCCUCAGUUAAAGAUUCCAACCGAUCGAAGGAAACAAUAAUCUUUAGCUUUAUUUAUUGUCUUUAGAUGGAAUCUCAGUAUUCAUUUUUCAUCUUUCAGAAAGUGUGAAUGCUGAUAUUGUUCAGAAAUACUAUUAAAUCUGUAUUACAUUCAUGCAUCUGCAUUAUGUGAUCCCUAUGAUGUUGCUAAAUCACAGUGACAGAACUGGAUACUAUCAGUGCUACUUAGGUGUUGAUCUUACCUCGACAUUCAAGGUAUUGGUACCAGUGAAGUCAUCUCCCACCCCCCACCCCCAUGACAACUAUUUGGAAAUUUCAGUCUUCACUUUCUUUUUUUA
Hemiscyllium ocellatum (epaulette shark) is the source of this 2827-nucleotide long non-coding RNA. RefSeq lists it as uncharacterized. The record is from RefSeq and is a predicted model, not a curated record. NCBI's taxonomy places the organism in Eukaryota, Metazoa, Chordata, Chondrichthyes, Orectolobiformes, Hemiscylliidae. The transcript is spliced from 3 exons.